RNAcentral lists this ribosomal RNA (479 nucleotides) under uncultured bacterium. RNAcentral describes it as "bacterial SSU rRNA". It matches the Rfam family "Bacterial small subunit ribosomal RNA", at positions 107 to 598 of the family's 1533-position model. The record is from RNAcentral.
UGAGUAACGCGUGGGUAACCUACCCCAAAGUCCGGGAUAACAGCGGGAAACCGCUGCUAAUACCGGAUGUCUUUACCUUGGGGCAUCUUGAGGUAAAGAAAGGUAACGCUUUGGGAUGGGCCCGCGUCCCAUUAGCUAGUUGGUGAGGUAACGGCUCACCAAGGCGACGAUGGGUAGCCGGCCUGAGAGGGUGGACGGCCACACUGGGACUGAGACACGGCCCAGACUCCUACGGGAGGCAGCAGUAGGGAAUAUUGCGCAAUGGACGGAAGUCUGACGCAGCGACGCCGCGUGAGCGAUGAAGGUCUUCGGAUCGUAAAGCUCUGUCCUUGGGGAAGAAGGCGAAAGCUUGACGGUACCCAAGAAGAAAGCCCCGGCUAACUACGUGCCAGCAGCCGCGGUAAUACGUAGGGGGCGAGCGUUGUCCGGAAUUACUGGGCGUAAAGGGUGCGUAGGCGGCCCUUUAAGUCAGAUGUGAA